GCUGCUCAAAUAUGCUACCUCUCCGUGGUGAGCAGUAGGUAACGAGAGCUCCCUCUCGGCUAAAGCAUAU
RNAcentral lists this ribozyme (70 nucleotides) under unclassified sequences. RNAcentral's name for it is "HDV ribozyme from F. prausnitzii". It matches the Rfam family "HDV ribozyme from F. prausnitzii". The record is from RNAcentral.